Molecule: ribosomal RNA, 377 nt
Filed under: uncultured Serratia sp.
Lineage: Bacteria; Pseudomonadati; Pseudomonadota; Gammaproteobacteria; Enterobacterales; Yersiniaceae
Description: bacterial SSU rRNA
Rfam family: Bacterial small subunit ribosomal RNA
Source: RNAcentral
UAAUACGGAGGGUGCAAGCGUUAAUCGGAAUUACUGGGCGUAAAGCGCACGCAGGCGGUUUGUUAAGUCAGAUGUGAAAUCCCCGGGCUCAACCUGGGAACUGCAUUUGAAACUGGCAAGCUAGAGUCUCGUAGAGGGGGGUAGAAUUCCAGGUGUAGCGGUGAAAUGCGUAGAGAUCUGGAGGAAUACCGGUGGCGAAGGCGGCCCCCCUGGACGAAGACUGACGCUCAGGUGCGAAAGCGUGGGGAGCAAACAGGAUUAGAUACCCUGGUAGUCCACGCUGUAAACGAUGUCGAUUUGGAGGUUGUGCCCUUGAGGCGUGGCUUCCGGAGCUAACGCGUUAAAUCGACCGCCUGGGGAGUACGGCCGCAAGGUUA